GAUUAACGCUGGCGGCGUGCCUAAUGCAUGCAAGUCGAACGUGGUCUCUUCGGAGAUUAACGUGGCGGACGGGUGAGGAACACGUGGGGAACCUGCCCAUUGGUGGGGGGUAGCCCGCGGAAACGCGGGGUAAUUCCGCAUACGCUGGUCUGGGGAUAGCCUGGAUCAGGAAAGGGCUCUUCGGAGCUCGCCGAUGGAGGGGCCUGCGUCCGAUUAGCUAGUUGGUGGGGUAACGGCCUACCAAGGCUUUGAUCGGUAGCUGGUCUGAGAGGACGGCCAGCCACAGGGGAACUGAGACACGGUCCCCACUCCUACGGGAGGCAG
This 324-nucleotide ribosomal RNA is filed under the name uncultured Chloroflexota bacterium. RNAcentral's name for it is "bacterial SSU rRNA". It matches the Rfam family "Bacterial small subunit ribosomal RNA", at positions 28 to 351 of the family's 1533-position model. Lineage: Bacteria; Bacillati; Chloroflexota. The record is from RNAcentral.